RNAcentral lists this ribosomal RNA (706 nucleotides) under Achromobacter xylosoxidans. Its description in RNAcentral is "bacterial SSU rRNA". It matches the Rfam family "Bacterial small subunit ribosomal RNA", at positions 62 to 760 of the family's 1533-position model. The record is from RNAcentral. Lineage: Bacteria; Pseudomonadati; Pseudomonadota; Betaproteobacteria; Burkholderiales; Alcaligenaceae.
UCGAGCGGCAUGCACUGGACUUCGGUCUGGUGGCCAGUGGCGAACGGGUGAGUAAUGUAUCGGAACCUGCCCGGUAGCGGGGGAUAACUACCCGAAACCGUAGCUAAUACCGCAUACGCCCUACGGGGGAAAGUGGGGGAUCGCAAGACCUUGCACUAUUGGAGCGGCCGAUAUCGGAUUAGCUAGUUGGUGGGGUAACGGCUCACCAAGGCGACGAUCCGUAGCUGGUUUGAGAGGACGACCAGCCACACUGGGACUGAGACACGGCCCAGACUCCUACGGGAGGCAGCAGUGGGGAAUUUUGGACAAUGGGGGAAACCCUGAUCCAGCCAUCCCGCGUGUGCGAUGAAGGCCUUCGGGUUGUAAAGCACUUUUGGCAGGAAAGAAACGUCGCGGGUUAAUACCCCGCGGAACUGACGGUACCUGCAGAAUAAGCACCGGCUAACUUCGUGCCAGCAGCCGCGGUAAUACGUAGGGUGCAAGCGUUAAUCGGAAUUACUGGGCGUAAAGCGUGCGCAGGCGGUUCGGAAAGAAAGAUGUGAAAUCCCAGAGCUUAACUUUGGAACUGCAUUUUUAACUACCGGGCUAGAGUGUGUCAGAGGGAGGUGGAAUUCCGCGUGUAGCAGUGAAAUGCGUAGAUAUGCGGAGGAACACCGAUGGCGAAAGGCAGCCUCCUGGGAUAACACUGACGCUCAUGCACGAAAGC